RNAcentral lists this ribosomal RNA (443 nucleotides) under uncultured bacterium. RNAcentral describes it as "partial 16S ribosomal RNA". It matches the Rfam family "Bacterial small subunit ribosomal RNA", at positions 338 to 795 of the family's 1533-position model. The record is from RNAcentral.
CCUACGGGUGGCAGCAGUGGGGAAUAUUGGGCAAUGGGCGCAAGCCUGACCCAGCAACGCCGCGUGAAGGAAGAAGGCUUUCGGGUUGUAAACUUCUUUUCUCAGGGACGAAGCAAGUGACGGUACCUGAGGAAUAAGCCACGGCUAACUACAUGCCAGCAGCCGCGGUAAUACGUAGGUGGCAAGCGUUAUCCGGAUUUACUGGGUGUAAAGGGCGUGUAGGCGGGAAAGCAAGUCAGAUGUGAAAACCAUGGGCUCAACCUGUGGCCUGCAUUUGAAACUGUUUUUCUUGAGUACUGGGGAGGCAGACGGAAUUCCUAGUGUAGCGGUGAAAUGCGUAGAUAUUAGGAGGAACCCCAGUGGCGAAGGCGGUCUGCUGGACAGCAACUGACGCUGAGGCGCGAAAGCGUGGGGAGCAAACAGGAUUAGAUACCCCGGUAGUC